UAAAGCUCUGUCCUCAAGGAAGAAUAAAUGACGGUACUUGAGGAGGAAGACCCCGGCUAACUACGUGCCAGCAGCCGCGGUAAUACGUAGGGGGCGAAGCGUUAUCCGGAAUCACUGGGCGUAAAGGGGUGCGUAGGCGGUUUUCUAAGUCAGAAGUGAAAGGACUAUGGCUCAACCAUAGUAAGCUUUUGUAAACUAGUUAAACUUAGAGUGCAGGAGAGGAAGUAGGAAUUCCUAGUGUAGAGGUGAAAUUCGUAGAUAUUAGGAGGAACACCAGUGGCGAAGGCGACUUUCUGGACUGUAACUGACGCUGAGGCACGAAAGCGUGGGGAGCGAACAGGAUUAGAUACCCUGGUAG
RNAcentral lists this ribosomal RNA (358 nucleotides) under uncultured bacterium. RNAcentral's name for it is "bacterial SSU rRNA". It matches the Rfam family "Bacterial small subunit ribosomal RNA", at positions 426 to 793 of the family's 1533-position model. The record is from RNAcentral.